UUUGGUGCCUUUCAUUAGUUGGGUUUCUUUUGUUGUAAGUUGUUUGAUGUUAGUUCAUGUGCAAACAUAACCUUUGUUGGUUCUUAAUGUGAUUGACCAAUGUUCAGAAAAAAUUCAUUAGAAAAGCCAUAAUUACUUAAAAAUUCGUCACGCUUACAAAUAAAAUGCAUUUGAAAGGCAGUGACCACUUUCGAUCCGGGUCACAGCUUCGAACAACAAAGAGCUCGAGCUUGCUGGCUAAAUGGAGGGAAGGGAACGAGCAAAGAUUAUUCAAUCCAUUACCUCGGUUGUCGUCGUCGUCAUCUUGGCAGUGUUCGUUCUGGUUCUAUCUAUUGAUGACAAGUGAGGGGCUUGCAAUGCCGUCAUGGGCGAGAUUGAGCUUGGACUUUUGAGAGCUUUGUGUUCUGCUGCCAGAGUAUAUCUAUGCUUCUCCAUCAAUUGGAUGAUUAGCUUGCAAGGAAAUCAAAUUUAAUGGAUGCUAAUCAAGUCUUGUGAUUUUUGUGAGAGCUCUGUUCACCAACCAGACUAAAGAGACAUCAACUGGAAACUUAAUGCAACCAUGUGGCAAUCAGUAUGGUAUUGGUGGAAGUGAUUCUAAGUUUCUCAUUUUUAAAUAUUGAUGUUGGCUGGUUUACCUUGUGACACUUAUGUGGCAAUCAGUAUGUAGCAUCUUUGAUUAGUGGUUCCUUCGAUGAAGCGCGGAUGCUUAAGAAUGUUGAAGCAUGUGAAUGGUUAACAGGUGCAAUUCCUAACCUUGAAGUGCCAAAUCUGAAUCCAUGCUAUGCUAACAUGCGAGCUGUAUGUGUGCUAUCCCUUGUUUGAAAUGCCAAUUAUUCCUGGUCAGGGAUCCAUCACUUUUCUUUUGGUUGCACAGAAUGAAGAAGUAAUCCAUUUUUGCAUGACAAAUAUCACUUACUUUUUCAUGUCAUACCAAAUAACUCUUUGAUGCAUAGCCAUAUUACAUAUUCUGCUGGCAAACGAAUAUAUUAUAUGCUGGAAAUAAACUGCUAUUGGAGAUAAGUAUUUGGAGCCUCUUUUUUUUUUUUACAAUAGUUCCUGAAAAGUAAUUGAAGAGUAUUCUCCUAUUCUUUUAUCUUCCUUCAAAUCCUACUAUAAGGCUCAAAACAAUGAAAUAGGCAUGGGCAAUAAUUGAAAUUGAGCUUAAGUUAAUAGAUUCAAUUUCCCCGAAAUGCUACUCCAAUUUAUUUAUUGCUACUCAUUGUUCCUUUAACAAGUCAAUCAUUGAUAUUGACAAGUUAUUUUUAAA
This is a long non-coding RNA of Dioscorea cayenensis subsp. rotundata (Guinea yam), 1267 nucleotides long. RefSeq lists it as uncharacterized. NCBI's taxonomy places the organism in Eukaryota, Viridiplantae, Streptophyta, Magnoliopsida, Dioscoreales, Dioscoreaceae. The record is from RefSeq and is a predicted model, not a curated record. The transcript has 3 exons.